This 492-nucleotide ribosomal RNA is filed under the name uncultured bacterium. RNAcentral describes it as "partial 16S ribosomal RNA". It matches the Rfam family "Bacterial small subunit ribosomal RNA", at positions 29 to 507 of the family's 1533-position model. The record is from RNAcentral.
AGUGAACGCUGGCGGUAGGCCUAACACAUGCAAGUCGAACGGCAGCACAGUAAGAGCUUGCUCUUACGGGUGGCGAGUGGCGGACGGGUGAGGAAUACAUCGGAAUCUACUUUUUCGUGGGGGAUAACGUAGGGAAACUUACGCUAAUACCGCAUACGACCUACGGGUGAAAGCAGGGGAUCUUCGGACCUUGCGCGGUUGAAUGAGCCGAUGUCGGAUUAGCUAGUUGGCGGGGUAAAGGCCCACCAAGGCGACGAUCCGUAGCUGGUCUGAGAGGAUGAUCAGCCACACUGGAACUGAGACACGGUCCAGACUCCUACGGGAGGCAGCAGUGGGGAAUAUUGGGCAAUGGGCGCAAGCCUGAUCCAGCCAUACCGCGUGGGUGAAGAAGGCCUUCGGGUUGUAAAGCCCUUUUGUUGGGAAAGAAAAGCAGCAGGUUAAUACCCCGCUGUUCUGACGGUACCCAAAGAAUAAGCACCGGCUAACUUCGUG